This is a small nucleolar RNA of Macadamia integrifolia, 71 nucleotides long. RefSeq annotates it as small nucleolar RNA snoR60. The record is from RefSeq and is a predicted model, not a curated record. The transcript has a single exon. Lineage: Eukaryota; Viridiplantae; Streptophyta; Magnoliopsida; Proteales; Proteaceae.
AUGCAGAUGAUGAGUUACUCGGAUUCCCCUUCAAGACAGUUUGGAUGAUGUAAUCGCGAGUUUCUGAUGCA